AGAGGGGUCCAUAAGGAAACUAAGGGAUAUUAAGGCCUCCUUUUAAUAGAGAACCGGAACAAAGCAUUAACACAUAGUGAAUACAUGAACUCCUCAAACUACGGUAAUAACCGGAAAGAAUCUCAGUUAUUGUCACCCUGGGGGAUGCAGAUCAUAACACAUAGCACGUGCAUACAACUUGCAAUAUCGUAUAUAAAACAAAAA
RNAcentral lists this long non-coding RNA (204 nucleotides) under Hordeum vulgare. Its description in RNAcentral is "long non-coding RNA (HVUL_LNC014917)". The record is from RNAcentral. Lineage: Eukaryota; Viridiplantae; Streptophyta; Magnoliopsida; Poales; Poaceae.